UACGUAGGUGGCAAGCGUUGUCCGGAUUUAUUGGGUUUAAAGGGUGCGUAGGUGGUCUAUUAAGUCAGUGCUGAAAUAUCCCGGCUUAACCGGGAGGGUGGCAUUGAUACUGAUGGACUUGAGUAGAGUCGAGGUAGGCGGAAUUGACGGUGUAGCGGUGAAAUGCUUAGAUAUCGUCAAGAACACCUAUAGCGAAGGCAGCUUACUAGGCUCUAACUGACACUGAGGCACGAAAGUGUGGGGAGCAAACGGG
This 253-nucleotide ribosomal RNA is filed under the name uncultured bacterium. RNAcentral's name for it is "partial 16S ribosomal RNA". It matches the Rfam family "Bacterial small subunit ribosomal RNA", at positions 524 to 776 of the family's 1533-position model. The record is from RNAcentral.